CCUACAUGGUGGAAGGAGAGAAC
RNAcentral lists this non-coding RNA (23 nucleotides) under Cricetulus griseus (Chinese hamster). The record is from RNAcentral. Lineage: Eukaryota; Metazoa; Chordata; Mammalia; Rodentia; Cricetidae.